AUGGCCGUGCCUUGCACACGCAGACCUGGGGGCUCUCCAGGCCCACGCUGUCACCCCCGGCCGUGGCUGCGCGCUCGGCCCGGCCGCAGGAGGCGGCGGGAGCUCCGCGCUGCCGCCGCCCCCGGCCCGGCCGCGCUUCCGCCCGCGUCAGCUGACUGUGCCCGGCAGCGGCCCGGCCCGGCCCGCGGAACCUCGGCGCGCCCAGCCCGCACCAUGGCGGGGGUCGUGGUGAGCGGAGCACAGGUGUCCUACAUUAGUCAGGACUGUGAAGAAAUUCCAGAAUUCCUGGGAAGAAAAUAUGGACAUAUGGCAAAAAGGCUAGAUCUUAGCUUCAACUUGUUAAGGGUGCAGAUUAUUUCUGCUAGGAGCCUGAAUAAUUUGCACAGUAUGUGCUUGUGCAUAAUUUCCACUGUCUGA
RNAcentral lists this long non-coding RNA (417 nucleotides) under Catharus ustulatus (Swainson's thrush). RNAcentral describes it as "lncRNA (ENSCUSG00005000715.1)". The record is from RNAcentral. Lineage: Eukaryota; Metazoa; Chordata; Aves; Passeriformes; Turdidae.